Molecule: ribosomal RNA, 447 nt
Filed under: uncultured bacterium
Lineage: Bacteria
Description: bacterial SSU rRNA
Rfam family: Bacterial small subunit ribosomal RNA
Source: RNAcentral
ACCAGACUCCUACGGGAGGCAGCAGUGGGGAAUAUUGCACAAUGGGGGGAACCCUGAUGCAGCGACGCCGCGUGGGUGAGGAAGUACUUCGGUAUGUAAAGCCCUAUCAGCAGGGAAGAAAAUGACGGUACCUGACUAAGAAGCCCCGGCUAACUACGUGCCAGCAGCCGCGGUAAUACGGAGGAUGCGAGCGUUAUCCGGAUUUAUUGGGUUUAAAGGGUGCGUAGGCGGAAUGCCAGGUCAGCGGUAAAAUCGCGGGGCUCAACCUCGCUCCGCCGUUGAAACUGGCGUUCUUGAGUGGGCGAGAAGUAUGCGGAAUGCGUGGUGUAGCGGUGAAAUGCAUAGAUAUCACGCAGAACUCCGAUUGCGAAGGCAGCAUACCGGCGCCCGACUGACGCUGAAGCACGAAAGCGUGGGUAUCGAACAGGAUUAGAUACCCGUGUAGGC